UUGUGAGUUACGCUAUUCUUUGGACACCCGACUAGAGUACGCAUACUUUUAACAAGUGUAGGGUUACAAGAAUUCCACGAAACUCUCCACAAACAAUAUUCGCUGGUCUUCGCUUCCGGCAAUUUGCUUAUAAAACCUUGGAAGAGAAGUCUAGAUACUGGGCCCGUAUCUAUCGAACAGGAACUCAUAACAUUUUAUUGUACAGAUUGAAAGUAUAAAACAGAGUAACUUUACAGUAAAUUAUCCAACUUUAUCAGCAGAAUACAAUCGAAUAUUUACAUGGAUCUUUACCUAGUUCUUCUGACAAGCGUUAUUAUCGGAUCUUUGAUAGAAAGAGGAUCGGCAGAUUAUAUGAUCCCAAUUAAUUCUUCAGCUUGUGAGAACGGAUCCACUACCAAAGAAAAGAAUGCAGCCUGUUACGAAGAUUGUAAAAAGGCACCAUAUUCUGGCUUACUUAGAUAUGGUUUCUGUAAUAAUAAUCAAUGUAUUUGCAAUAUCUAUGAAUUUUCUCCAUAAGUAUAACUGCAAUUCGAAAUGUAACGAUAUAAAAAUUUAAAAUAAUAAUUGUAAUAAUUAUUUCUUUAAUUAAAAUUUCAUUCUCGAUUAAUUCUGGUCCUGGACACAACGGUUAAGGUGUCAGCCUACAACUCUGGAAAAUACAGAACCGAAUCCUGAUGAGCAAAGUAAGGAUGCCCAGGAAUUUUCGGGGAGUUCUGUUAUGGAUAUGUUGGGACUCACCUCUUCCAUCGUAUAUUCGUAUUCGAGAUUCGUAUAUUAGAGAGAUUCGUGCUGUUAAAUUUUGAUGGUUAAAGGCCGUGCCGGCCCGAGGCAAGUUUUAGGAUGGAGCGAGAUCCUAUAAUGGCGCCCCCUUGGUUGCCCCUAAUUUAUACCCUUUAAUUUUCUUUACCACUGAGGCGCCCCUUAGGACUUAGUGCCUGGAGCGGCUGCUCCGUUGGCCCUAUGGUAGGGCCGGCUCUGCCAUAUCAAAUCGGCUAAAGGUGGAGAAAAUUGGGAAAUAGAGGGAGGUCGCUUGACGUAACUCGAAUGGGGUCGGACGUAAUGAAGAUUUUUACUCGUUAUUACAUUUACAACAGCUAUAGAAUUUAAUAAUUUUCCUCUUUAUAAAAGAAGGUAUUAAUUUUAUAAAAUGUAACGUCCAACAACCAUUAUAGAUUAACACUGCAACUUAAUAUUUCAUCAUAUAUUAAAACAACUUAUUUUUUACAUUAUUAAAACAAAUUUUAUUUCAAAUAUUAUCAAUGCAACUUUAUAUUAUUUCGAAUUGUCAUAUUUUAAAUAUUAAAAUAGCAAGAUGAAUUGUAAGUAUAUACGAAAUAUUGCAGAUUAUUUGUGAUUUGAAAUAAUCUUAACUUACUCGACAAAUAUUCUUAACCUCAAGAUGAAUUGUAAGUAUAUAUCCGGUUGAUACCAGCAUUUUAGUCAAUAAAUUAUUCCAUUGGUAUAAUUUUCUUGACUAAAUUAUUUAUCAUCUUGAAAAAUGACCUAAAAAUUAAUUUUGUGAUUUACAAAUACCCCAAUUAGGCAAUGUUGGUGAAAGCAUUGCAACAUGUUUUCAACACACGUACAAAAGUUAAAUAUAAUUCUUAAUACAGUCGACCCCUAUAACACUGUUGAUAAUUCCGUUUUAUAUGAAU
RNAcentral lists this long non-coding RNA (1655 nucleotides) under Centruroides sculpturatus (bark scorpion). RNAcentral describes it as "uncharacterized LOC111627498". The record is from RNAcentral. Lineage: Eukaryota; Metazoa; Arthropoda; Arachnida; Scorpiones; Buthidae.